GACAGAGGGUGCAAACGUUGUUCGGAAUUACUGGGCGUAAAGCGCGUGUAGGCUGCUCGGAAAGUCGGAUGUGAAAGCCCUGGGCUUAACCUAGGAAGUGCAUUCGAAACUUCCGAGCUGGAGUUCUGGAGAGGAAGGCGGAAUUCUCGGUGUAGAGGUGAAAUUCGUAGAUAUCGAGAGGAACACCGGUGGCGAAGGCGGCCUUCUGGACAGUGACUGAUGCUGAGGCACGAAGGCCAGGGGAGCAAACGGG
Molecule: ribosomal RNA, 253 nt
Filed under: uncultured bacterium
Lineage: Bacteria
Description: partial 16S ribosomal RNA
Rfam family: Bacterial small subunit ribosomal RNA
Source: RNAcentral